CAAUAAAUUCUGUGUUCUUUUUCCCACUUAGCAAAUUAAGCAUGCUACUUAGUUUACUGUGAUUGAUCAUGUUAAAGCAUUUAUGAACAAAUAAUAACUAUUACGCAAGUAAAAUAUAAAAAAUGUCAUGUAUCCUUUUUCAUACAGGCCCCCAAUCCCUUAUUCAAAACCUUCAGGGCCAGAACUGUUUUGGAAUUCACAAGUGUUUGGAUCUUAAUAGGAUAGUAAGCCCCUUGCCUGUGCCUUGGAGAUUGCUGCUGAGGUGACUUGGCCCUUCUUGCUGAUUGCGGUGGAUCUCUGCUCUUUGUGGGUUGUCCACCUCCAGAGGAUUGGCUCUAAAUCAGGGUAACCUCAACCCAGGUGACUUCCCAUUGCAUUCAGAAGGAAGCUCAAACUCCUAAUUAGUGUCCACAAGACCUGGAACGUCUGAGCCUCAUUGCGUCUGACUCUUGUCCUUCUGCUCUUUUCCCUCACCCAUCCAUUCUGGCCUCACUGCCUGCCAUCAGUUUCUUGAUUGCAUCAGAUUCUUCCCACUUCAGAGCCUUUGCUAGCCCUUCUCCUUUUGCUAAAAUGCUCUUCCCCAAGUCAUUAUAUACUGGCUCCUUCUCACACCUGAGAGUUCAGAUUAAAGUUGACUUCAUCAGAGAG
Herpailurus yagouaroundi (jaguarundi) is the source of this 648-nucleotide long non-coding RNA. RefSeq lists it as uncharacterized. NCBI's taxonomy places the organism in Eukaryota, Metazoa, Chordata, Mammalia, Carnivora, Felidae. The record is from RefSeq and is a predicted model, not a curated record. The transcript is spliced from 3 exons.